This 416-nucleotide ribosomal RNA is filed under the name uncultured bacterium. RNAcentral's name for it is "bacterial SSU rRNA". It matches the Rfam family "Bacterial small subunit ribosomal RNA", at positions 8 to 425 of the family's 1533-position model. The record is from RNAcentral.
AGAGUUUGAUCCUGGCUCAGAAUGAACGCUGGCGGCGUGCCUAACACAUGCAAGUCGGAUGUGCCGCAAGGUGCAUGGCAGACGGGUGAGUAACGCGUGGGGAAUCUACCUCUUUGUGGGGAAUAACGCUCCGAAAGGAGUGGUAAUACCGCAUGAGACCUUCGGCUGGGAUGCUGGAGGUGAAACCUGGGGACCGCAAGGCCUGGGGCAAGGAGAGGAUCCUGCGUCUGAUUAGCUAGUUGGCGGGGUAAUGGCCCACCAAGGCGACGAUCAGUAGCCGGCCUGAGAGGGUGAUCGGCCACACUGGAACUGAGACACGGUCCAGACUCCUACGGGAGGCAGCAGUGGGGAAUUUUGCGCAAUGGACGAGAGUCUGACGCAGCAACGCCGCGUGGGUGAUGAAGGUCUUCGGACUG